CGACAACCCUUACCGUUAGUUACCAUCAGGUUAAGCUGGGGACUCUAGCGGACUGCCACCGUAAGGUGAGAGGAAGGUGGGGAUGACGUCAAUCAGCACGGCCCUUAUGUCCAGGGCUACACACGUGUUACAAUGGCCGGUACAAAGGGCAGCUACGUUCGCGAGAAGAGUGCUAAUCUACGAAAGCCCGGUCUCAGUUCGGAUCGAAGUCUGCAACCCGACUUCGUGAAGCUGGAUUCGCUAGUAAUCGCGGAUCAGCCAAGCCGCGGUGAAUACGUUCCCGGGCCUU
RNAcentral lists this ribosomal RNA (289 nucleotides) under uncultured Prolixibacter sp. RNAcentral's name for it is "partial 16S ribosomal RNA". It matches the Rfam family "Bacterial small subunit ribosomal RNA", at positions 1096 to 1382 of the family's 1533-position model. Lineage: Bacteria; Pseudomonadati; Bacteroidota; Bacteroidia; Marinilabiliales; Prolixibacteraceae. The record is from RNAcentral.